CGGUACAGAUGCAGUAGCGGUUGAAAUACGACGCUACACAACCGAAUAGGCAGAGCAGGCGCAGGCAGGAGAACUGUCAGGCGCGGGCGGGAGAAAAUGUCAGGCGCGCGGAAGAAAAAGCAGGCGGGAAGGAGAAAUUGCAGGUGUGCGCGGGAGGGAGGAAGAGAGAGGAGAGGGAAAUAGGGAAUCGACUGAGAAAUUUGGGGGGGGGAAACCAGUCCGCGCGGAGGGAGAAAGAGAGAGGAGAGGGAAUCGAUCGACUUACUUGCAUCCCCCAUCGCCGGCGGAUCCAUCUCCCAUCACCAGCGGCUCCAUCCACGAUCGCCAGCGGUCCAAGUCCAACCCCCAUCGCCGGCGGCUCCAUCCCCUCGCCAGCAGCUCCAACACCCAUCGCCGCUUUGUUCUGCCCCUCCCUCUCCCUCUCUCUACUCUGUUCUGUUCAUCUCUCUCUCGCUCCGUCUACUUUGUUCCUCCCUGCUCGGUUCUGCUUAUAGAUUAUAGUUCUGCUAUAAUUUGUUAGGUAUCGUUAGAAAUUAAUGGUGACUUUGUGCUAUAAUUUUAUAUGUGACAUUAUAGGCUAUUAUAUUUCUGUGAAAAUUAAUCAAGAUAUACAUAUGUACUAAAUUGGUGAUUUAUACGGUGCCAUUAUAGGCUAGUAUAUUUCUGUGAAGUCGCAACACCGCAAGCCGCAAGCGUUAUAAAGCUGUGAGGGGGGUGGGUCGCCGCAACUCGCCACGCCGUAUUCAAAACUAUGAUUCCGAGUGAACUUUUGUGGUGGCAGAUUUCAGUUUCAGCCAAACAUAAGGCUCUCUGCUACCCCAUCUCGAUGAUCAUCCAGUAUAUAAACUGCCAUUUGUUACGCAUGAUUGAUGGAGCCAAAUCAGGUUAUUGGUCUUUAUAAGUUGGGUUUUUCUUGGGACGAUAAACGUCUUGAACAGAUCACUAUCGAGGUAUGCUUGCCAGGUAAGCAAAUUAAGAGGUUACAAAAGAAAGUAUAUAGUAUCCAUUUUAGUGAGAUUAAGUUUUCAGUCAUGACCUUCACUGAAGGUACUGGGAUUUUCUUUGAAACAACAGAAAUUUCACUUGUACUGAAUAAGGUUAUUGGUCUUUAUAAGUUGAGUUUUUCUUGGGACGAUAAACGUCUUGAACAGAUCACUAUCGAGGUAUUUGUAUCCUACAUUCGGAGCUCAUUUGACAUACAGGACAGAUCAACUUCAAUUCCUCUGUAGAGAUGCUGGUAGGUGCUCACACUUCUUUUACUGUUGCUCUUUGUAGUAUGGCAGUUAAUAAAAUUUAGAAACUUUAGAACAUUGCCAAGUUCAUAAUCUGAAUUGCAAUGGUCAACCUCAUUUUUCUCUAGUUUAAUUCAGUGUUACCAUAUUCUUUUUCUACACCUCAUCUGUGAAGAUUAUGGUUUAACUGACCUAUUGUUUGCCAUCUUUGUAUUAGACCUAGAUCACUUCUAUAUGUUGACCUUAGUACUAACUGGGAUUUCAUUAUUCCUUGAAAUAUGUGUAGUUCACACGAGUCUUGUCUAUGCUUUGCUUUAAAUUCUACUCCAUGCAUGGGAAUCAAGAUAAUUAAUUUGAUGAUUUCAGGGAGCACCAAAAAUAAUUGUUUCUCCAAAUCUAUAGAAGUUGUAGGUGCAGGAUUACGUGGAUGUGUUUGGUGGGCACAGAUAGUCUGAUUUGAUACAGGACCAUGUAAGAUGUCAUUCUAUCAAGUGUGGUGUAUUUUUAUCUGCAUAUCUGCAUAGAUACAUGAGUGUCUAAUAGAGUGAUUGUCCAUUUAAUACACCCAGUGUUGUUGUUACCUUAAUUUUUGCAUGGGACUAGGAAUUUCUUGGCGAUGUAUAUCUACCCUUGACUCAAUUGGCUUGUUCUCUGUUGUUCUGUUCUUCAGAUUCGAGCUAACUUUCAAUAUUUAGUGUGGUGGAUUGAAUUCCAUGAUAGGGAAAAGAGUAAGUUUAUUGCUGAAAAGAAACAAGUUGGAAACUACUACUACUAUACCAAGCUUUGAAUCCGGGGCACAUGGAAUUUUAAAAUCUAGCAACUUCAGCAAAAUCAGGCUUGAAUUAGUUCAUCUCAACAUCAAACUAACAGUGUACUGCAGCUUUGCCACUGAAUCUAGACACAAUGUUUUGUCCUGUUUUGCCAGCACCAUCUUUGAAGCCACUAGCUUUGAAUCAAUGAUUUCAGAAAGAACUCAAAUCUAUCUAUGGAUUACUAUAUAUUCCAGUGGAAGUAAGAUCCUUUUUUGCCAACCAUUUAAACUUCUGGUAACACUGCAUAUGUGUGCCUCAGAAUGUGAGCAGUCAUGUCUCUGCGCAGGUUGAGUUUUUCAUUUUAUUUUCUUUUGUGUCAAAGCAGAUCAUUUUAUUUGUUUGUGGGGUUUCUUCGUACAUGUACAUGGAUUGUAGUAUCACGUACAUGUGUCAUAUAUGGAAUCAUUUUUAUUUGUAAAGUGGAAUUGUUUUUA
Long non-coding RNA from Brachypodium distachyon (stiff brome), 2478 nucleotides. RefSeq lists it as uncharacterized. The record is from RefSeq and is a predicted model, not a curated record. NCBI's taxonomy places the organism in Eukaryota, Viridiplantae, Streptophyta, Magnoliopsida, Poales, Poaceae. The transcript is spliced from 3 exons.